UGACGGUACCCGCAGAAUAAGCCCCGGCUAACUUCGUGCCAGCAGCCGCGGUAAUACGAAGGGGGCUAGCGUUGUUCGGAAUCACUGGGCGUAAAGCGUACGCAGGCGGAUUGAUAAGUCAGGGGUGAAAUCCCGGGGCUCAACCUCGGAAUUGCCUUUGAUACUGUCUGUCUCGAGUUCGGGAGAGGUUGGCGGAAUUCCUAGUGUAGAGGUGAAAUUCGUAGAUAUUAGGAAGAACACCAGUGGCGAAGGCGGCCAACUGGCCCGAUAAUGACGCUCAGUACGAAAGCGUGGGGAGCAAACAGGAUUAGAUACCCUGGUAGUCCACGCUGUAAACUAUGGAUGCUAGCCGUUGGGGAGCUUGCUCUUCAGUGGCGCAGCUAACGUCUUAAGCAUCCCGCCUGGGGAGUACGGUCGCAAGAUUAAAACUCAACAU
Molecule: ribosomal RNA, 436 nt
Filed under: Rhodomicrobium vannielii
Lineage: Bacteria; Pseudomonadati; Pseudomonadota; Alphaproteobacteria; Hyphomicrobiales; Hyphomicrobiaceae
Description: bacterial SSU rRNA
Rfam family: Bacterial small subunit ribosomal RNA
Source: RNAcentral